UAGUGAACCAGUACCGUGAGGGAAAGGCGAAAAGAACCCCGGCGAGGGGAGUGAAAAAGAACCUGAAACCGUGUACGUACAAGCAGUGGGAGCCUCUUUAUGGGGUGACUGCGUACCUUUUGUAUAAUGGGUCAGCGACUUAUAUUCUGUAGCAAGGUUAACCGAAUAGGGGAGCCGAAGGGAAACCGAGUCUUAACUGGGCGUUAAGUUGCAGGGUAUAGACCCGAAACCCGGUGAUCUAGCCAUGGGCAGGUUGAAGGUUGGGUAACACUAACUGGAGGACCGAACCGACUAAUGUUGAAAAAUUAGCGGAUGACUUGUGGCUGGGGGUGAAAGGCCAAUCAAACCGGGAGAUAGCUGGUUCUCCCCGAAAGCUAUUUAGGUAGCGCCUCGUGAAUUCAUCUCCGGGGGUAGAGCACUGUUUCGGCAAGGGGGUCAUCCCGACUUACCAACCCGAUGCAAACUGCGAAUACCGGAGAAUGUUAUCACGGGAGACACACGGCGGGUGCUAACGUCCGUCGUGAAGAGGGAAACAACCCAGACCGCCAGCUAAGGUCCCAAAGUCAUGGUUAAGUGGGAAACGAUGUGGGAAGGCCCAGACAGCCAGGAUGUUGGCUUAGAAGCAGCCAUCAUUUAAAGAAAGCGUAAUAGCUCACUGGUCGAGUCGGCCUGCGCGGAAGAUGUAACGGGGCUAAACCAUGCACCGAAGCUGCGGCAGCGACACUAUGUGUUGUUGGGUAGGGGAGCGUUCUGUAAGCCUGUGAAGGUGUACUGUGAGGUAUGCUGGAGGUAUCAGAAGUGCGAAUGCUGACAUAAGUAACGAUAAAGCGGGUGAAAAGCCCGCUCGCCGGAAGACCAAGGGUUCCUGUCCAACGUUAAUCGGGGCAGGGUGAGUCGACCCCUAAGGCGAGGCCGAAAGGCGUAGUCGAUGGGAAACAGGUUAAUAUUCCUGUACUUGGUGUUACUGCGAAGGGGGGACGGAGAAGGCUAUGUUGGCCGGGCGACGGUUGUCCCGGUUUAAGCGUGUAGGCUGAUUUUCCAGGCAAAUCCGGAAAAUCAAGGCUGAGGCGUGAUGACGAGGCACUACGGUGCUGAAGCAACAAAUGCCCUGCUUCCAGGAAAAGCCUCUAAGCAUCAGGUAACAUCAAAUCGUACCCCAAACCGACACAGGUGGUCAGGUAGAGAAUACCAAGGCGCUUGAGAGAACUCGGGUGAAGGAACUAGGCAAAAUGGUGCCGUAACUUCGGGAGAAGGCACGCUGAUAUGUAGGUGAAGCGACUUGCUCGUGGAGCUGAAAUCAGUCGAAGAUACCAGCUGGCUGCAACUGUUUAUUAAAAACACAGCACUGUGCAAACACGAAAGUGGACGUAUACGGUGUGACGCCUGCCCGGUGCCGGAAGGUUAAUUGAUGGGGUUAGCGGUAACGCGAAGCUCUUGAUCGAAGCCCCGGUAAACGGCGGCCGUAACUAUAACGGUCCUAAGGUAGCGAAAUUCCUUGUCGGGUAAGUUCCGACCUGCACGAAUGGCGUAAUGAUGGCCAGGCUGUCUCCACCCGAGACUCAGUGAAAUUGAACUCGCUGUGAAGAUGCAGUGUACCCGCGGCAAGACGGAAAGACCCCGUGAACCUUUACUAUAGCUUGACACUGAACAUUGAGCCUUGAUGUGUAGGAUAGGUGGGAGGCUUUGAAGUGUGGACGCCAGUCUGCAUGGAGCCGACCUUGAAAUACCACCCUUUAAUGUUUGAUGUUCUAACGUUGACCCGUGAUCCGGGUUGCGGACAGUGUCUGGUGGGUAGUUUGACUGGGGCGGUCUCCUCCUAAAGAGUAACGGAGGAGCACGAAGGUUGGCUAAUCCUGGUCGGACAUCAGGAGGUUAGUGCAAUGGCAUAAGCCAGCUUGACUGCGAGCGUGACGGCGCGAGCAGGUGCGAAAGCAGGUCAUAGUGAUCCGGUGGUUCUGAAUGGAAGGGCCAUCGCUCAACGGAUAAAAGGUACUCCGGGGAUAACAGGCUGAUACCGCCCAAGAGUUCAUAUCGACGGCGGUGUUUGGCACCUCGAUGUCGGCUCAUCACAUCCUGGGGCUGAAGUAGGUCCCAAGGGUAUGGCUGUUCGCCAUUUAAAGUGGUACGCGAGCUGGGUUUAGAACGUCGUGAGACAGUUCGGUCCCUAUCUGCCGUGGGCGCUGGAGAACUGAGGGGGGCUGCUCCUAGUACGAGAGGACCGGAGUGGACGCAUCACUGGUGUUCGGGUUGUCAUGCCAAUGGCACUGCCCGGUAGCUAAAUGCGGAAGAGAUAAGUGCUGAAAGCAUCUAAGCACGAAACUUGCCCCGAGAUGAGUUCUCCCUGACUCCCUGAGAGUCCUGAAGGAACGUUGAAGACGACGACGUUGAUAGGCCGGGUGUGUAAGCGCAGCGAUGCGUUGAGCUAACCGGUACUAAUGAACCGUGAGGCUUAACCUU
Molecule: ribosomal RNA, 2457 nt
Filed under: Escherichia coli
Lineage: Bacteria; Pseudomonadati; Pseudomonadota; Gammaproteobacteria; Enterobacterales; Enterobacteriaceae
Description: partial 23S ribosomal RNA
Rfam family: Bacterial large subunit ribosomal RNA
Source: RNAcentral